AUAAACGAAAAAGAAAAAGGAGAUUGGAAAACAACAAAAAAAAAAAGGAACGGAGAGAGGCAUACAACAAAAAGAGAAUAAGAAAGAAAAAAAAACAAGGAAAAAGAGUGAAAAAAGUAAGAGAAGAAUCAAAGAAGCAGUAAUAUAAAAAAAAUAGACAAUCUUAUUUUAGAAAAGUUAAAAAAAAAAUUCUUUUUUUAAAAAAACUUUGGUGAAUAACAAGUUGGAGUUUGACGUUUUGGUUCAUGAUUUCGAGUUCAUGACUUUUUCUUUCUUUUAUUGAAAAUUAUUUUCGUCUGGAGGUAAUUCUCAAUUUUUCUUUGUAUAGAAUAACAUCACAAUCAUGCGGUACUUGAUUCCAAUAAUAUAAAGUUGCUCAAAUUUUGUAUGUAUUUGAUAAUUUAUUUAUUUAUUAGGCUUACUUGAUUUUUUCCAUUCAAUUCGGAACUUCAUUAAUCCAAUUAAUUUUGAAUUGUAUUACAUAAACUCUAUUAAACAAGAAAGUGUACCUAUAUAAUGUGGGUAUUUAAUUAGAAGUAACAUUUUUUUUUUUGUGACCGAUUAAAGGUGGGCUUGAUAUGCAAGAAAAUGUUUUCCUCCCUGCCAUGCACAUCUAGCUUAUUUAUUUAUUUAUUUAUUUAUUUAUUUAUUUUAUCCCUAAAGAUUAUCUCAAAAGAAACGUUUUUUUAUUUAAUUUUGAUUUUAUAAAAUAAUAUAAUGAACAAAAGACAAAAACUUUGCAGUACUUAUUAAUUUA
This 757-nucleotide long non-coding RNA is filed under the name Capsicum annuum. Its description in RNAcentral is "long non-coding RNA (CANN_LNC009906)". Lineage: Eukaryota; Viridiplantae; Streptophyta; Magnoliopsida; Solanales; Solanaceae. The record is from RNAcentral.